UAGGGAAUCUUCGGCAAUGGACGAAAGUCUGACCGAGCAACCCCGCGUGAGUGAAGAAGGUUUUCGGAUCGUAAAACUCUGUUGUUAGAGAAGAACAAGGACGUUAGUAACUGAACGUCCCCUGACGGUAUCUAACCAGAAAGCCACGGCUAACUACGUGCCAGCAGCCGCGGUAAUACGUAGGUGGCAAGCGUUGUCCGGAUUUAUUGGGCGUAAAGCGAGCGCAGGCGGUUUCUUAAGUCUGAUGUGAAAGCCCCCGGCUCAACCGGGGAGGGUCAUUGGAAACUGGGAGACUUGAGUGCAGAAGAGGAGAGUGGAAUUCCAUGUGUAGCGGUGAAAUGCGUAGAUAUAUGGAGAAACACCAGUGGCGAAGGCGGCUCUCUGGUCUGUAACUGACGCUGAGGCUCGAAAGCGUGGGGAGCAAACAGG
RNAcentral lists this ribosomal RNA (429 nucleotides) under Gemmatimonadota bacterium. RNAcentral's name for it is "Gemmatimonadetes bacterium partial 16S ribosomal RNA". It matches the Rfam family "Bacterial small subunit ribosomal RNA", at positions 355 to 776 of the family's 1533-position model. Lineage: Bacteria; Pseudomonadati; Gemmatimonadota. The record is from RNAcentral.